AACCCAUCCCACUGUGCAGACAACAUGUGUUUAUUUUCUUGCGGGACCAGCUUGACAAGACACACAUAUGUAUAUGCCCUACACUUGCGACGCUCCAGCCGGCUGAUAUGUGUAGGCGGCCGUAAGGGUGUCGAGAGCCAAGGCAAAGAGUAGAGCGUACAAACUUCAGCAGAGCUUAAAAUUUACAACAGCAAUCUCUCUCUUUUUCACAUAUACACACACACACACACUUAGCUAAGCGCUCUCAACUUUCAACUGCCGUUAUGAUUUCGCAAUUACACUACAACAACAAGAGCGAUACAAAAACCUCGCCGACGAAGAGCAGACAUUUGCUGGAAAUUUCAACUGCAUUUAUGUGUGUAUGUGUGAGCAACUAUCUCGCUUGCACUUGUGUUUUGGGGUUAUCUUUAGCUUCUUCUUCUAGUUGGUCUGUUGCGCCGUAAGAGGCAAUAGGAGUAUAUGUUGAAAUUUGUCUAAUUUUGAAUUAUUGAUUUUUCCCCAUUAAGAAAUGGCUCCCAGAGCAGAGUGUAUGAUGUAUAAAGUGUGACCGCGGAUUUACAGUAUGACCAUCAGAAAUACAAAUAUAACCCACUUAACCCCAUCAAUUAAAACAGAUAAAACUUUUCUCUUUGCUUACAAAUACGACUGCUAUAUAUUUCACCCGAACUACGCCAAAAGCUCAUAAAGUUUCAUCAUAUAGGUAGGAAUAUUUAAAUA
Molecule: long non-coding RNA, 717 nt
Organism: Drosophila persimilis
Lineage: Eukaryota; Metazoa; Arthropoda; Insecta; Diptera; Drosophilidae
Exons: 3
Source: RefSeq, a predicted model, not a curated record